GGAAGUAAAAGUCGUAAAAAGGUUUCCGUAGGUGAACCUGCGGAAGGAUCAUUAUUGUAUAACCGAGGUGCGAGGGCUGUCGCUGACCCGAAAGGUCGUGCACGCCCGAGUGCCCUCACACACAUCCAUCUCACCCCUAUGUGCACCACCGCGUGGGUCCCCCUUUGGCUUGUUCGGAGGGGGGCUUACGUUUUCACACAAACUUUGUAUGCAGUGUAGAAUGUAUUUUUUGUUUUUGCGAUCACGCAAUCAAUACAACUUUCAACAACGGAUCUCUUGGCUCUC
Molecule: unclassified non-coding RNA, 285 nt
Filed under: plant metagenome
Description: partial contains small subunit ribosomal RNA, internal transcribed spacer 1, and 5.8S ribosomal RNA
Rfam family: Eukaryotic small subunit ribosomal RNA (bases 1-54)
Source: RNAcentral